GCAUUAAUGGGGUAGUGGUAACCUGGGUCGUUGCCACCAACUGAUUAUUCUCAGCACUCGACCCGCCGGGGGUUCGAUUCCCCCUUAAUGCA
Molecule: non-coding RNA, 92 nt
Organism: Favolaschia claudopus
Lineage: Eukaryota; Fungi; Basidiomycota; Agaricomycetes; Agaricales; Mycenaceae
Source: the annotation of a GenBank genome assembly